RNAcentral lists this transfer RNA (76 nucleotides) under Oscillospiraceae bacterium. RNAcentral's name for it is "tRNA-Thr". It matches the Rfam family "tRNA". Rfam says of the family: Transfer RNA (tRNA) molecules are approximately 80 nucleotides in length. The record is from RNAcentral. Lineage: Bacteria; Bacillati; Bacillota; Clostridia; Eubacteriales; Oscillospiraceae.
GCUGGUGUGGCUCAGUUGGCAGAGCAAUUGAUUCGUAAUCAAUAGGUCGCCGGUUCGAAUCCGGCCACCAGCUCCA